RNAcentral lists this long non-coding RNA (442 nucleotides) under Panax ginseng (ginseng). RNAcentral describes it as "long non-coding RNA (PGIN_LNC013297)". The record is from RNAcentral. Lineage: Eukaryota; Viridiplantae; Streptophyta; Magnoliopsida; Apiales; Araliaceae.
CAUGGUGUAGUUCAUCAAGGUAUCUUCUUUUUCUUUCCUUUGUUUUUGCUCCAUGCUGUGCUCUAGUGGGCAUAUGCAGCAUUUUUUGUUUAAGAGUGCAAAUUUCUAUAUGGGUUUGCCAUUUUUCUUGCAUUGGGUGUGAAAAGUUAAAUUGUUUUUAGUUUUUUCUGUUGAAUCUUGUUAGAUGUUAUGUGGGUUUUGAGUAGCUGUUGAUCUGGGUUAUGAAAUUGUAUUUAUUUGGGGGAGUUUGUUUAUAAAGUUUGGUUGGUUUCGAGAGUUUUUGUUUGGGAUUCUUCAGAUUCAUUCUUUUGGGUUGAUGAAAGUAGCUGCAUUCUUGAGGGAAUUUACAUUGGGAUGGUAUUUGGGUUUUGGUUACUGAAUUUAUGGGGUUUGAGAAUAUUUUACAAUGACCAGUGAAUUUGUCUUUUUCUUUCUAUUUCUG